AAAUUCGUGGACUAGGGUUAUGGAGAGAAUAUUUGCUAAAAUUAGAAAGAAUUAACAUGUCUUCUUUUCAUUCUAACUCAAAAACCUCUCUCUUAUCUCCAUACUCUCUCGUCUUCUUCGUAUCAUUUUCUUCUCCGCCGCUAUCAACAACAAUCACCCUGAAUCAUGCUCACACUCAGAAUCGACCAAGACCCACAUGCAAUCUCGCACCGUUUUUGUUGGGUUCUGCAGAUUCGGUGAAUAAAUCAAAAUAGAAGAUUCAAUCGCGGCUGAUGAUUCCGUCGACGAGCUCGAUAGCUACAUGUUCCAAACGGUUUGACUCUUUUCCAACUUGAUCCUCUUGAUCUUUAUUGGGGCUUUUGUCAUGAUCGCAUUUUCUUGUUAUUUUCUUUGGUAAUUUUUUUUAAUGAUUUAGUUUAUUAUUUAGGGAUUUUGAUUGUUUGAGUUAAAAAAACAGAUAUGUGGUACAUGCCUUGUAUGGUCUAAGAUUUGUUAGAAUAAUAUUAGUGUUGUAUACACAGUUUCUGAUUCUAACUCUCUUCUUUACUUCAUGGGGAGUACCGCUGCAUCCUCUGGUGAGUUGGGUUUCUUUCAGCUUCUGUUAUCCUAUUCAAAAUUUGAAGCUUUAUUGGUUUUUACAUGUUCAAUUUUUGGUUGAAACAUGAGUCAUUAUGAAUGUAUAAUGUUCUUAUUGUAUCUGUUUUGGUUGUACCAAAGAUUGAAACUGAUAGUAAUUUUGAAGUUCAUGUGUUCUCUUCAUCAUCUGAGUUACUAGAAAAGCUUCAUCAAACAUGGAGUUCAGUGGAGAAACAACCAUAUCCGGCUAUGUAUUCUAGUGUCUAUGGAGGUAUCAUACUUGAUCCAGCAAUGAUGGUCAUCCCUAUAGAUGAUUACAUGAUAUCUCUAUGAGCUGGAUGUUCACAUCGUUUCUUGAGAUCGGCUUCCAAAGGAACAUUAAGAUAAUGGCUAAGUGCAGGUCCUGGUGAUUUCUUGUUGUCAUCAUCAGGAUGUCCGAAAUCUGCAUUCUAUGCAGUAGUCAUUGGCCAUGAUUUUUCUCAGUGCAAAGAAGGUGUCAAAGUGAUUACUUCCAAUGUACCAAUGAAGGCACCGUCAUUUGUGACAAUGAAAAACGUGAACUAUCUUCCCAAUGUACUUUCUGUAUUGGAAGCUGAAGAGAAAGGAUCGUUUAGUUCUAUAUGGAUUGAUGAGUUUACUUCCUGAAUCAAAUAUAUAUAAUUGGAGUUGUGGGCACUUCUCCAAACCACUUUUAACUGCUACUGAUGAUAGCGAAGAAGUAUUAGCUAAAAGAGAAGAGAGGGAAAAAUUGGCAUUGGAGCGCAUAGUGAAAUGCCAGCACUCUGGUUUGAAAUAGGGGAUGUUUUCUUCUCUAUUGUUGUCUUAAAAUAGAACUCUGAUUCCCUCAUGCAUUAAUGUUAAUGAUUUUUUAUGGUGUUGUUUCAUGUUACUCCAAUGCAUUUAUCAGUAUGCAUCGGGGGAGAUGUCAUCAAUAAUGCUGUGGGAUCUUGAUAAAGAGCAACUUAUUAAUAUUAUACCUUCAUCGUGAGAAUGCAGUGUCUCAGCGUUGAAGGCCAUUGUUGAAGUUAUGGGUGCGUAUUUGAAGGAGACGAGGAAGACGAAUAAGGCUGAUGUUUGUUCAUUGUUGUUUGUUCUUUCAUUGCAUCUCUAUUAUUCUAUUUGAAGUAUCUUUAAUGAUUGGUUUUGAUAUAGGUUUCAAAAGGUUUUGUUAAAUUCUGCAGAAUUUCUGAUUGGUUUCAAAAGGUUUUGUUAAAUUCAUUUCUGAAUUGGAUUUUUCUGAACCGUUCUUGUGCAAGCGAGUCGUGUAUGAGUUGAGUUUUAUUUGUGACCUUGUCUCGAAAUUGUUUGAGAAUUGUCCACUGAUAAAUUAUAAGAGGAUACCAACAUUGUUAGCUACUACUCUUGGCAAUUAGUGGCUAGCUCCAUUUAAUUUAACUAUGUGUAUAAAAAUGAUUUCUUAUAUUCCUUUAUUUAAAGUUGAACAUAUGAUUAAAUAUUAGUGAACCUAGAUUUUUUUUCAAAUUCGUAGCUUUCAAAAGUGCUAGGGAGAUUUUUUUCAUUAAAGAAUAUUUCUUGAUCAAAGGCCAAUUUUGGCCAUCCAUUAUAACUGCAUCAGUAUGGUCAUUAGUGACAACCCAGCCAGUCCUUAAAAGAACAAACUUGAUUUCAUUAAUUUCUAUUUGACAAACCAAUUUGAUAUCUCAAAUAAAUGAAGAGUUGUGAUACUGAUGGUAUUUAUAGAUGACCAAAAUGGGCAGCUACUCUUUUUUUUCUUUCUAUUUGAUAGAUUUGUGAAGUUUGUUUACAUAAUGAAAACAAUGAUCUGUUUUCAAUC
Vicia villosa (hairy vetch) is the source of this 2371-nucleotide RNA transcript. It is a transcript of the gene named D-amino-acid transaminase, chloroplastic-like, with no coding region annotated. Lineage: Eukaryota; Viridiplantae; Streptophyta; Magnoliopsida; Fabales; Fabaceae. The record is from RefSeq and is a predicted model, not a curated record. The transcript has 6 exons.